This is a long non-coding RNA of Myotis lucifugus (little brown bat), 604 nucleotides long. RefSeq lists it as uncharacterized. The transcript has 2 exons. NCBI's taxonomy places the organism in Eukaryota, Metazoa, Chordata, Mammalia, Chiroptera, Vespertilionidae. The record is from RefSeq and is a predicted model, not a curated record.
AGGGCCACAGUGCAACAGGGCUCUAGAGAAGGAACGCCCCAGCUUCCUGCUCCAGGAGUGACAUCACCCCUGUCAUUCUUGUGCCCCGCCCCUUGCCUGAGACAACAUGCGUGCAUUACUGGAGCUGCAGGAGACAGUACUCACCCACAGCCCCCCUGUACAACCUGAACUUAUUACCCAUCUUCUCAUUAUGCCUUCCUCCCACCUCAGCUCACCAGAGCCCAAGGAGUAUCUUCUGGGACUGGUGUCUCAUAGAAAACAUUCUGGGGGACACAUGGAUUGGCGAUCUAGUCAGGAGGCAGAACUGACAAGAAUUCAAAGUGCAGUGACUUCUGGAUAAGAGACUUGCACAUCCAGCUCAGAUGUCUUGCCCCUUGGUGUUCUCUUCACUACACAGCCGUGGAGCCGUGGACCCCACAAACAAAUACAGAUUUGCCCCCAGAAUGCUGCAAUAAUGGCAAUCUACAGUCACUCAGCUACGACAAGGAAAAUACAUAGAAAGUCGAUAUAUUUUUCGAAACUCAAUAUUUUCAAAAUGAAAAAUAUUACCAAAACAUUUUUGCUGUAGUAAGCAGAAUAAAGAAAAGCAAAAAGCAGCAGUAAA